Lontra canadensis (Northern American river otter) is the source of this 103-nucleotide small nuclear RNA. The record is from RefSeq and is a predicted model, not a curated record. Lineage: Eukaryota; Metazoa; Chordata; Mammalia; Carnivora; Mustelidae.
UUGCUUCGGCAGUAGGUAUACUAAAACUGGAACGAUACAGAGAAGAUUAGCAUGGCCCUGGCUCAAGGAUGACAUGCAAAUUCGUGAAGUGUUCCAUUAAAAA